This 328-nucleotide unclassified non-coding RNA is filed under the name soil metagenome. RNAcentral's name for it is "partial contains 5.8S ribosomal RNA, internal transcribed spacer 2, and large subunit ribosomal RNA". The stretch from base 1 to 120 matches the Rfam family "5.8S ribosomal RNA", at positions 35 to 154 of the family's 154-position model. The record is from RNAcentral.
GAUGAAGAACGCAGUGAAAUGCGAUAAUUAAUGUGAAUUGCAGAAUUUAGUGAAUCAUCGAAUCUUUGAACGCACAUUGCGCCCCUUGGUAUUCCGGGGGGCAUGCCUGUUCGAGCGUCAUUUCAACCCUCAAGCACUGCUUGGUCUUGGGCCACGCCGGCGACGGCAGGCCUCAAACGUAGUGGCGGCACCAUCGGUUCCCUCAGUGUAGUAAUAUCUCUCGCUGCUGGGCCCUGGUGGUCGCUAGCCAGCAACCUCAAUUUUUUCUGGUUGACCUCGGAUCAGGUAGGGAUACCCGCUGAACUUAAGCAUAUCAAUAAGCGGAGGA